GACGAACGCUGGCGGCGUGCCUAACACAUGCAAGUCGAACGGAAAGGCCCUGCUUUUGUGGGGUUCUCGAUUGGCGAACGCGUGAGUAACACGUGAGUAACCUGCCCUUGUCUUUGGGAUAACUUCACGAAACUGGGGCUAAUACCGGAUAGGAUCUCCUGCUCCAUGGUGGGGGUUGGAAAGUUUCGGCGGUUGGGGAUGGACUCGCGGCUUAUCAGCUUGUUGGUGGGGUAGUGGCUGACCAAGCGUUUGACGGGUAGCCGGCCUGAGAGGGUGACCGGGCACAAUGGGACUGAGAUAGGGCGCAGAGUCGUACGGGAGGCAGCAGUGGGAAAUAUUGCACAAUGGGCGGAAGCGUGAUACAGAGACGCCGCGUGCGGGAUGACGGCCUUCGGGUUGUGAACCGCUUUCGCCUGUGACGAAGCGUGAGUGAUGGUAAUGGGUAAAGAAGCACCGGCUAACUACGUG
This 468-nucleotide ribosomal RNA is filed under the name uncultured bacterium. RNAcentral describes it as "partial 16S ribosomal RNA". It matches the Rfam family "Bacterial small subunit ribosomal RNA", at positions 28 to 507 of the family's 1533-position model. The record is from RNAcentral.